UUAAUACUCCCUCCGUCCCAAAAUUCUUGUCUUAGAUUCGUCUAGAUAUGAAUGUAUCUAAUAUUAAAAACGUGACUUGAUACAUCCGUAUUUAGACAAAUCUAAGACAAGAAUUAUGGGACGGAGGGAGUACAUU
This is a non-coding RNA of Triticum aestivum (bread wheat), 136 nucleotides long. The record is from Rfam. NCBI's taxonomy places the organism in Eukaryota, Viridiplantae, Streptophyta, Magnoliopsida, Poales, Poaceae.